Molecule: long non-coding RNA, 154 nt
Organism: Ipomoea nil (Japanese morning glory)
Lineage: Eukaryota; Viridiplantae; Streptophyta; Magnoliopsida; Solanales; Convolvulaceae
Exons: 3
Source: RefSeq, a predicted model, not a curated record
ACCUUGUCUUCCCCAAAGCCUUGCAAGAGAACCAAAAGAAAACACAGUGGUGAAGGAGGUAGUGGCUGACUUGGGAAGAAGGAGGAAUCCCAACAAGAAGAAGAAGUUUACAAAGGUGGGCCCAGCGUUUGAGAGAUGAUCGGGUUAGACUAGU